AUGCCUCCAGAGAAGAUCUGGAUCCAGGCGAAAAACAUCGAUGCUGCAGCAGGAGAGAUAAUUGGUGUUUUGGAGGAUACAAGCAAAGGAAAUGUGAUCUACUUCAAGGGCUGGGAAGGAUUUGGAGCAUCCGCUGUUCUCAAUCUGGUGGCCCAACGCCUGAAAUCAUCCACGAGACUGAACAAGUUUGACAAGGUUAUCCAUGUAGAUUGCUCGGUGUGGAAAAGCAUGAGGGCCCUGCAAAAGGUAGUAGCAGAGGAGCUGGACCUUCCACAGUCUGUGAUGGCCAUCUUUGAUCUAUGCGACGAGGAGGACGAUUUCAAUGGGAUGGAUCAAGGAUCCAGAGGGGUGAUAGCAGAUAUCAGAAGGGAAAUCUUCAGAAAGCUUGUUAACAGUAUAUUUGUGGUGGUUUUUCACAAUGGGAGCAGAAGAUACAUUGAUUUGUACGAUUGUGGUGUCCCAGUAACAACAUUUUUGAGUAACAAGAUGUUGUGGACCUGGCACGGGAGGUUCCGGAGCAAUCUCAUACUAGAAGAAGGGGAAAAGGAAAAGAUGAAGAGUCAGACAGAUGUUCGCUUAUUUCCUUCUCAUACUGGAUGUGAAAUUGAGGAAGGGCGAGAUGUACUGCAUGAAGAGGCUUUGGAAGUUGCCAAGUGCACGGGGAUUGUUCAUCCUGACGAUAUGAGCCACAAGAUAGUCAUGGAGUGCCUCAUAUACAGGACACUGAUUGUUACGGACAUGAAGACACAUGCACCAAACUAUUGGAUCUGCGAUGGCAUUAUACAGGGCCAAGACAAUGCAUCAGCAUGGGAGAUUGGCAAUUCUCUGCACAGAAACAUGUGCUUGGAUUUUGAUUUAACAUAUAAUGAGGAAACAACUCCCGUGCUACAGGUGUCGGAUGAUUUACUUGUUAACCGCUGGAAUUUCACCACCCACAAACAACUCCUAGAGGAUAAGGCUGGAGCGUUGCCUCCUCAGGUGACAUCCUUCUUCCUUUUUGCAGAUGAAUCACCAACAGAUAGAGCAUCAAUAUUGCCGGUUAGCAUGUUUCAACAUUCACAAAGCAGCAAGCUACGUGUGUUACACCUGUCUCAUUGCACCUUCAGUUUUGCAUCUCCUCCCUUCGUCCAUUGCGUCCAACUAAGAUUGCUCCAUCUGGACCAUUGCAGAAAUAUCACAGAGGAUGAUGAGCAUCCAAGCCACAAUGAAGACAUAUCAUGUUUCCAGAAGCUAUGGGUGCUGGAUCUGAGGUAUACACACUGGUCCUGGUUGCUAAGUGAAAAGAUGAAGAGAUUGAUGGUUGAACUCAGGGAGCUGAAUGUGGAGGGAGUCAAGCAUGGGAGCAUCAGUGAUUUGUGGGAUGGUAGACAUAGCCUUGUCAUACUUCGAGUAACAGCAGCAGAUCCAGUCCCUACGGAGAACAAAGACAAAUAUAGUCAAGCACAAUUCCCCAAUAUGUCCAGUACAAAUAGCCUUACGACAUCUUCCUUCAUCAACGAUGUCCUGCCUUCUUUGCUUGAGUCAUUUAGCUUCAGUAACAAAUCUACAACUACUGCCAAGAUAUCUAGCAUCUCCUUCCGGGGUUGUUCUCAGUUGAAGAAUAUACUUCUCAGAGGUAAUUUGGGGAGCCUGGAGGAGCUGGACCUCUCGGGAACGGCAGUGAAAACCCUUGACCUCAGAGAAGUGGAAGCUCCAAACCUCAAGCGUCUCAUGCUGCUGGGCUGUGAGAAGCUCUGUGCAAUAUUAUGGCCAUCGGAAGAUAAAAGGACAAGGGUUUUGGAGAAGUUGCAGAUCAACACCAUCCAAUCUGCAUCACCUAGCCAUAAUAAUUCGGAAGAGAAGACCAACGACGCUAGUACUGCUGCAGGAUCAUCAUCUAUCCUUACUUUUGGGGCUUCACCACAAGACAUCGGUCGAACUGCAUCUUUUGAGUUUCAGUGGUACAUAUCUGUAGUGGAUCCAAGGCUCAUGUGGUCGCUUCUUACCUUUCAACAACAACUUCUUGGGGAAGAAUUUGUAUACAUGGAGAUUGGUUCAUUUUCUGCAACUGGAGCUGCUGUUGGUGGUUGUGAAGUUGCUCAAGGCAUCGCGAGCCAGCAGCAGAUUACUCAAUACUUAUAUGCAAGAGAUAUCUUGCAAGAGCGCCUGCAAGUUGUCAGUGCUAUAGAAGGUGUUAUUAGCUGGAUGUGGGCUUGCCCACCUAUUCCUACUCCAAGUCCUCGAGACUGCUGGUACUUCCACAUGCAAGAUGAAGAGAGUAUGGAGAGAGGAUCGUUACAGCGGCAACACAACACCAAAAGGAUUAGUACCAGUGUUGCUUCAGCCCCUCUCCUUAUAUGUAAUUAUGCAAAGAUGUUGUAUGUGCAUGAUAGCUCGUCCAUCACUUGCGUUCCGUGCCCACAAGGUUCAAGGUGGCCGUGGCUUAAAUGGUGCCGAGUUGAGAGGUGCCCCAAGCUAUGCUCUGUCUUUGCUACUCCCCAACUAAGUGAUGACCUGGACGUCUUUUGGUCCUUGUCUACGUUCUGGGCGUCCCAGCUCCUGAAGGCGCGCUACAUCUGGAACUGGAGUGCAGUAGGUCAACCUGGUGGAGAUUCGUUCGAAGACCUAGCGUUCUUGCACCUGGACUAUUGCCCCAGACUCAUACAUGUGCUUCCCUUGUCUGAGCAUAUGGACACCCUGCCUAGCCUGGAGACGCUGGAGAUCGUGUGCUGCGGUGAUCUGAAGGAAGUCUUCUCUUUGGACCCUAAUCGCCAAGAGAAGCAGGAAACUAUAGAAUUUCCCAAGCUAAGAAGGAUCCACCUGUACCAGCUCUCCAACCUACAAAGCAUCUGUGGGAGCAGGAUGUCCGCGCCGAACCUUGAGACCGUCAGAAUCCGGGGCUGUUGGGGCCUUCGACGCCUGCCGGCAGUCAGCGGCAGCACCACCAACCGGCCCAAGGUGGACUGCGAGAAGGACUGGUGGGACAACCUGGAGUGGGACGGUGUGGAGGCGAAGCACGACCCUUCGCUCUAUGAGCCGAGCCACUCGCGAUACUACAAGAAGGCCCACGUACCAAGGGUCACCGUUCUCAGGUAA
RNAcentral lists this ribosomal RNA (3075 nucleotides) under Triticum aestivum (bread wheat). RNAcentral describes it as "partial small subunit ribosomal RNA". Lineage: Eukaryota; Viridiplantae; Streptophyta; Magnoliopsida; Poales; Poaceae. The record is from RNAcentral.